This 460-nucleotide ribosomal RNA is filed under the name uncultured bacterium. Its description in RNAcentral is "partial 16S ribosomal RNA". It matches the Rfam family "Bacterial small subunit ribosomal RNA", at positions 338 to 795 of the family's 1533-position model. The record is from RNAcentral.
CCUACGGGAGGCAGCAGUGAGGAAUAUUGGUCAAUGGACGCAAGUCUGAACCAGCCAUGCCGCGUGCAGGAAGACGGCUCUAUGAGUUGUAAACUGCUUUUGUACGAGGGUAAACGCAGAUACGCGUAUCUGUCUGAAAGUAUCGUACGAAUAAGGAUCGGCUAACUCCGUGCCAGCAGCCGCGGUAAUACGGAGGAUUCAAGCGUUAUCCGGAUUUGUUUGGUUUAAAGGGUGCGUAGGCGGUAGGAUGAGUUAGAGGUGAAAACCCGAGGCUCAACUUCGGAAUUGCCUCUGAUACUGUUCGGCUAGAGAGUAGUAGCGGUAGGCGGAAUGUAUGGUGUAGCGGUGAAAUGCUUAGAGAUCAUACAGAACACCGAUUGCGAAGGCAGCUUACCAAGCUACUUCUGACGUUGAGGCACGAAAGCGUGGGGAGCAAACAGGAUUAGAUACCCUUGUAGUC